Molecule: long non-coding RNA, 4703 nt
Organism: Cavia porcellus (domestic guinea pig)
Lineage: Eukaryota; Metazoa; Chordata; Mammalia; Rodentia; Caviidae
Exons: 2
Source: RefSeq, a predicted model, not a curated record
GGCUCCGCCGCACCCCUACUGUGCGAGCUCAAUCCAAACCUCCGGAAUCCCGCGCCGGUGGGAAACACGUGCGCUUCCAGGCUCAGGAUUGUUUAGCCUUCCACGGCGAGCGGGAAGGUGAUGGUGGGAGAAAAUAGUCUCUUUUCUGCAAGACAUCGCUCACAGCACUGGCAGCGCCAGUGUUUUUUAGCUGGUUUGGAGGGAGGCUGUUUUGUGUGUGUUUGGUACUGAGGAUCGAACCCAGCGGCGCUCUACCCCAGAGCUAUAUCACCAUCCGUUUCCGUUUAUUUGGAGAUAAGGUCUCGCUGAAUUGCCUAGGCCCCACGCGAACUUGCGGUCCUUCUCGGUCAGCGCCGGGGUUGCAAGCGUGGGCCACAGUCCCCAGGCUGGCAGGGCUUUUAAGGACCUACUUUAGCAGAGGGAAGCAAGGAGCUGAUUCUGCUUUCCCUGCAACUGCGAAGUGACCCAUGGGCUCCUCUGCUGUUCCGGAGGGAAAUUCUUGCAGAUCCCGUAGCUUUUCAGAGGUGCGUCCCAGGCCAAGCCACGCGCAACACCGCCCCAGUCCGCGGGAGGCGCUGGGCGCACACUGGGGCGCCGGCGGGGCCUCAGCCCUCCUCCUUCCGGCCCGGGGCUCCGUGGGGCGGGCGCGGGGGGAGCGGUAAGGGGUGAGGCCCGAUGCCCAGAGCACUUUGGUGGGCGGUUAGGAAAACCCACCGCGACACUCAGCUGUGGCACCGCCAAGAAAGUGGUGCUCACAUCGCCUCGGUGUCGGCAGGCGACCCUUCACACACUUCCAGGCACACUGGAUGCGCUUUUGCAAGGAGACCCUUGGGGAGGUGGUCUACAGGAAACAGCUGGAAGCGCAGCUUACUGUGUGUCACUCGUGGUCACCUGUCCACUUCUCAGAUCACAGUCAGAUUCCAAACCCCAGAGCGCCACCUCGAAGACCCCUCAGAUAGUUUUCUUUCAUCCAGCACCUUGUACUCCCUGCUGUCCAGGGGGACCCUGCCAGGUGCUGAGGCUGUGCCAGACUGCAGCCCAGCCAGGUCAUCUGUGCUGUUUGAGCCCUGCUUGUGAGAGACCAGGGCCACAAGAAUUUACCAGUUGUCAAGGAAUACAGAAAAGUUAAAGAGUUUAUUGAUGGACUGCAAGAGGGCAGCAGGUGAGUGAGUCCAAGAGAAGGCUGCACUGUCACGGUGAAAACUGGUUUUUGUUUUUGUUUUGUUUUGUUUUUUGAGACAAGAGUCUUGUUUUGUAGUUCAGGCUGGCCUCUAACUCAUAGCAAGCUUCCUGCCUCAACCUCCUGAGGCUGGGGUAUCAGCUACCACGCCUAGCUAAAAAGCUGAAGUUUUUAUCUUUGAUUUUAGCAUAGGGAGGGGACUUGUAAACUUCAUCCCAGGAAUGUUUCAUCAGAUCCUGGUGGUUCUGUUGUCCAUCUCAAUUCUAAACAGAGCCAAGUGUUGUCUGAAGACUGAUGAAAUGUUUUCUGACAGAACCCUUGGUGCUGGAAACACUUCUCAGUAAAAUUAAUAAAUUGGAAAGAUUAAAGUUGGUGGAAAGGGGGAGGGGAGCAGGACAAAACAAGUAUGUUUAUACUUGAAAUGGGCUUUGGAUGUUGUACUGGGAUGGGAGAGAAAUGGUACUCUUUAAGGCAUGUCUAGCAGUUAGAGCAGGUGGUGAUGAAUGGAUGAUCUUUUGCCCAUAGCUUACAUGGUGGUCUCACCACUCAGCUGCAGUGUGGUCUGUAAAGUGUUGGGAGCCGCGGCCGACACCGGUCGCCUUACUUGGCAGACGUAGGGCCUGUGGGUGGGAGCGGAGCCUGAGCUAGAUUGCCCCUCCCAUCGAGUGAGUCAAGUUGGCGCCUGCUUCCUGCCCCCUGAUUGCGCUGGUGACUUAAACAGCCCGCGCAAUAGAAUAGUCUGCCUAGCAACAACUGAUGUUAGCCAAUCAGCCCGCAUCGCGCGCUUUGAACUGAUUGGCCACUGUUACCCUAUAAAAGUAAAUGCCUCUCCCGCCACGAGGGAGAAGCACAGAGAGAAAGCACAGAGAGAGAUAGAGAAAGUCCACCGGCGAGAAAGGGCUGGUGGCAGAGAGGAGGCCUCGCGGGGCCCACGCGGAGACAAAUAAAGGCAAGGUUGCACACCGCCAGACUUUGUCGUGUGUCUUUCCUGCCGGCCGGGAGCGACCCCGACAUUUGGUGACCCGCACGGGGACUGAUCAACCCCGAGACACGGCGGUGGUGUGCAACGCUCCAGCGUGGUGCUGCCGGACAGGUGAGUUGGGGAUAAGCCUGGGCUCUGGGUGGCGCGCACCUACAGGGCUUUUAGACUCCCCUCAGGCUCACGCGUAGGUGACGGGUUCUUUAAGUCACACGCGGUGAGUUACAGCCCUUAGAGGUUGAGGAUGGGUAAUUUACCGAGCGCGGAGGCGCGGCCCUUGGUAAAGGCCCUUAGGAAGCUUUUAAAAGCUAGAGACCUCAGGGUAGGUCAAAAAACACUGAAACUAUUCAUAGCAGAGAUAGAUAGGGUGGCUCCCUGGUUUUUACCCACAGGGCAUUUAAACCUGCCGUCAUGGGAGAAGUUAGGCAGGGACCUCGCCUCGGCGGAAUUGGGAGGCGAUAUUUCGCCGGCUAUUCGCCCCCUGUGGGAAAUGAUACAUGCGUGCCUUGACUCCUAUGCCGAGUUGCGCCGCGAAUUGUGUGCGUGCGCCGCUCGAAAAAAGCAGAGAGAGGAAAAAGGACCCCCGAGCGCUCUCUGGCGGGGAGGAGAUAGAGAGCCAUCCGCUCCGCCCUGGAGCUCUUCUCCAGAAGCGGCUCCCCGCCGAGAGGCCGCUACAGGGAACCCUCCCUUCUCUCAGCCGGCACAGGAAGUGACGCCCCGUUCCACUCUGUCGCGACCGCCGUCCUAUGACGUUGCGCCGCGGGGCGGACGGUAUUUUCAUGGGCGGCUACUCUGCCGAGCAGGCUGAGAAAAACGCCGGUCGAGGAAACGGGGGCUGGGGAUUUAGCUCAGCGGCAUAAGCGCCUGCCUUGUAAGCAGGCAAUCGCGAGUUCGAUCCCUGGUACCGAUAAAAAAAAAAAAAAAAAAAAAAAAACGAAAAAGACCAAAAAUAAAAAAAAUAAAAAAUAAAAAACAAAAAGGGGGAGUAAGCCAAGGCCUGCCUCCAAAGGCGCGGUUAUCUAUGGCAUGACAAUGGAUGGGCCCGGAUCCGGUGGUUAGCUGGAACCGAGGCGCGGUUUGUGUUUUUCCGCAGGAACCGGGACGAAAACCACUGUGGGUCCCAGAGAGGUUGACGCGACAAGUCCCUCGACUGAAGAUCAGGCCUGUUCCACCAGAGGCCAACCGCAGACCCAACAACAAGAUGAGCCCUAAAAGAACUGCAGGACAAUCCCUUUUUGGGGAGCCUGGAAUGGCUUGCUCCCCUAUGUUUUACCAUUGCUAGGCCCUCUAUGCUCCUUGUUCUUGCUCCUGCUUAUAGGACCAUGCUUGCUCCGAUGGGUUACAUCAUUUAUUAAUGGGCGCCUUGCGGCGGCCCGGCGUCAAGUACGCCUGGUUGCCCAUGCGGCCCUGGCAGCAGCCCGUGAUGGGCACAAUGACCCCCAGGCCUACGCAUGGCUCGCUCGACUGGCCUACGACCGGGUCUAGAUGUGGCGGGUCUUCCGCACUCCUUCCCUAAUGACACCACACAGCAGGGUAGGUGAGUCAAUGACGGGUAAGAGCGUGCCUCCCCAGCACGACUCGACCUAAGCCAGGCCCUACCCCAUGGCGCACGAAAGCCGCUGGAUUACUAGAAUCUGACCAGAUCUAGAUGCCUCUCCGAGGGGAUCACACGGAGGGGCAUGAGUGCAUGCCUAUGUGCAUCCAGGUUCCGUCCAGUUCACUCCUGGCCCUGGAAAAAGGACGAGGGUCUCAAGGCCUUGGCGGACCCGGGGCGGCCGACCAGGGUCCAAGCCAAGGGCCUACGGUGGGCCUCAACACAGGGCAUAAGCCUCUGCACUCGAUCCAGGGCGGGCUGCGAUGCAUACAUUCAUUCAAAGUAAAUAAAUUAGGGGGAGAUGUUGGGAGCCGCGGCCGACACCGGUCGCCUUACUUGGCAGACGUAGGGCCUGUGGGUGGGAGCGGAGCCUGAGCUAGAUUGCCCCUCCCAUCGAGUGAGUCAAGUUGGCGCCUGCUUCCUGCCCCCUGAUUGCGCUGGCGACUUAAACAGCCCGCGCAAUAGAAUAGUCUGCCUAGCAACAACUGAUGUUAGCCAAUCAGCCCGCAUCGCGCGCUUUGAACUGAUUGGCCACUGUUACCCUAUAAAAGUAAAUGCCUCUCCCGCCACGAGGGAGAAGCACAGAGAGAAAGCACAGAGAGAGAUAGAGAAAGUCCACCGGCGAGAAAGGGCUGGUGGCAGAGAGGAGGCCUCGCGGGGCCCACGCGGAGACAAAUAAAGGCAAGGUUGCACACCGCCAGACUUUGUCGUGUGUCUUUCCUGCCGGCCGGGAGCGACCCCGACAGUAAAGAAACAAUGCUAAAAUAACCACAGCUCCGUGCAUUCCACGACCUUACCAGAGAGUCCUUGCUGACAAGGAUGUCGACUCGAGAGCACACACAGCUUUCCCCAAGGCCCCCUCUUGGUUUUGAUCCUGCUUUUGUGUUUUUUGAUAUUUUUUAAAUUUUAAAACAAAAUAAAAAAUAAAAAUACUGAAUUUCAAAACAAAA